CCUACGUAGGGCAGCAGUCGAGAAUCAUUCACAAUGGGGGAAACCCUGAUGGUGCGACGCCGCGUGGGGGAAUGAAGGUCUUAGGAUUGUAAACCCCUGUAAUGUGGGAGCAAAUUAAAAAGAUAGUACCACAAGAGGAAGAGACGGCUAACUCGGUGCCAGCAGCAGCGGUAAGACAGUGGUCGCAAGCGUUGUUCGGACUCACUGGGCGUAAAGCGAGCGGAGGCUGUUUCGUAAGACGUGUGUGAAAGGCGCGGGCUCACCCGUCGGACUGCACAUGAUACUGCGAGACUCGAGUAAUGUAGGGGUAGCCGGAAUUCUCGGUGUAGCAGUGAAAUGCGUAGAUAUCGGGAGGAACACUCGUGGCGAAGGCGGGUUCCUGGACAGUAACUGACGCUGAGGCACGAAGGCCAGGGGAGCGAAAGGGAUUAGAUACCCCAGUAGUC
Molecule: ribosomal RNA, 446 nt
Filed under: uncultured bacterium
Lineage: Bacteria
Description: partial 16S ribosomal RNA
Rfam family: Bacterial small subunit ribosomal RNA
Source: RNAcentral